This 629-nucleotide long non-coding RNA is filed under the name Androctonus crassicauda. The record is from RNAcentral. Lineage: Eukaryota; Metazoa; Arthropoda; Arachnida; Scorpiones; Buthidae.
CUGUCUGAUUGCUGAUUCCUUAAUCAGACAAAUUACAAGAAUAAACAAUAUCAUAAAGUCCUUUCAUCAGAAAUUAUUUACAGUAUACAAAUUGCAAUCACGGUUCCUUAUUAUAAAUAUCUCCUGAUACAGUUCUAGAAAACAAGGUAUACAAAUUAUAUUGGGACAAAACAUUGAUAAAACACGUUACCAUAAUAGAUUUAGUCAAUUUGAUGGUCAGGUAGUAAUGCAAGUACUUAUCACCUUUGAGGAUCAAGUGCAAUUCUGAACCCCUGAAGCAUGGAUAUUCAUGGUUGACUUCAACAUGAUGACAUUCAAGCUUCUGAUUGACUACUACAUGGAUGUUGGCAGCCUGUGAUAGUUCUACUACUGGCCAUCAUCAAAUAUAUGCCUUGUGUAAUUCACUGGUAAAAUUAAAGAUAAUCAUGAUAUAUGCAGUUUUCUAUUCUUUGUCUAUCAUAUUUGUUGCUUCUCUAACUCAACAUAACACAACACACAUUACAAAAACUGCUAAUUAUUCAAACAUGCAAAGAAAAAAAAACUACUAAGUAUAUAGACUUAUAAAAGAUUGGUGCAAGUGGUAAGUGACCAUAGUUACAUUUGCUAUCAGAUGGAUUUUGGUUUUGACC